AGAAAAGGUCUUUGUUGUCAAUGUCUUAGGUUAUGUAUCAUACAAUUUUGUGAUAGGAGCAUACUCAUAUUGGGGACCAAAGGCCGGUUAUAAUAUUUAUAAAAUGUAACUAUCAUUUGUGGGAUCGUUGGAAC
This is a non-coding RNA of Camelina sativa (false flax), 134 nucleotides long. The record is from RefSeq and is a predicted model, not a curated record. Lineage: Eukaryota; Viridiplantae; Streptophyta; Magnoliopsida; Brassicales; Brassicaceae.